Molecule: unclassified non-coding RNA, 382 nt
Filed under: soil metagenome
Description: partial contains 5.8S ribosomal RNA, internal transcribed spacer 2, and large subunit ribosomal RNA
Rfam family: 5.8S ribosomal RNA (bases 1-120)
Source: RNAcentral
GAUGAAGAACGUAGCGAAAUGCGAUAAGUAAUGUGAAUUGCAGAAUUCAGUGAAUCAUCGAAUCUUUGAACGCACCUUGCACCCUUUGGCAUUCCGAAGGGUAUGCUCGUUUGAGUGUCAUUGUACUCUCACACUUCUGAUCCUUUGGAUUGGGAGCGGUGGACUUGGGUGUUGCUGCUUUACUGUGGCUCACCUCAAAUGCAUUAGUGCAACUCUUGGUUGGACAUAGUACGGCGUGAUAAGUAUCUUCGCCGGCACCUCGCAAGAGGGUGGCUGAUCAGGAGCUCUGUGCUUUCCAACUGUCUUCAGACAACAACUGACAACUUGACCUCAAAUCGAGUAGGACCACCCGCUGAACUUAAGCAUAUCAAUAAGCGGAGGA